Molecule: ribosomal RNA, 482 nt
Filed under: uncultured bacterium
Lineage: Bacteria
Description: partial 16S ribosomal RNA
Rfam family: Bacterial small subunit ribosomal RNA
Source: RNAcentral
GACGAACGCUGGCGGCGUGCUUAACACAUGCAAGUCGAACGCUGAAGCUCAGCUUUUGUUGGGUGGAUGAGUGGCGAACGGGUGAGUAACACGUGAGUAACCUGCCCCCUUCUUUGGGAUAACGCCCGGAAACGGGUGCUAAUACUGGAUAUUCACUGGUCUUCGCAUGGGGGUUGGUGGAAAGGGUUUUCUGGUGGGGGAUGGGCUCGCGGCCUAUCAGCUUGUUGGUGGGGUGAUGGCCUACCAAGGCUUUGACGGGUAGCCGGCCUGAGAGGGUGACCGGUCACAUUGGGACUGAGAUACGGCCCAGACUCCUACGGGAGGCAGCAGUGGGGAAUAUUGCACAAUGGGCGCAAGCCUGAUGCAGCGACGCCGCGUGAGGGAUGGAGGCCUUCGGGUUGUGAACCUCUUUCGCUCAUGGUCAAGCCGCAACAAUGGUUGUGGUGAGGGUAGUGGGUAAAGAAGCGCCGGCUAACUACGUG